Molecule: ribosomal RNA, 1412 nt
Filed under: Microbacterium aurantiacum
Lineage: Bacteria; Bacillati; Actinomycetota; Actinomycetes; Micrococcales; Microbacteriaceae
Description: bacterial SSU rRNA
Rfam family: Bacterial small subunit ribosomal RNA
Source: RNAcentral
GUCGAACGGUGAAGCCAAGCUUGCUUGGUGGAUCAGUGGCGAACGGGUGAGUAACACGUGAGCAACCUGCCCUGAACUCUGGGAUAAGCGCUGGAAACGGCGUCUAAUACUGGAUAUGAGCUGCGGAGGCAUCUUCGUGGUUGGAAAGAUUUUUCGGUUUGGGAUGGGCUCGCGGCCUAUCAGCUUGUUGGUGAGGUAAUGGCUCACCAAGGCGUCGACGGGUAGCCGGCCUGAGAGGGUGACCGGCCACACUGGGACUGAGACACGGCCCAGACUCCUACGGGAGGCAGCAGUGGGGAAUAUUGCACAAUGGGCGGAAGCCUGAUGCAGCAACGCCGCGUGAGGGAUGACGGCCUUCGGGUUGUAAACCUCUUUUAGCAGGGAAGAAGCGAAAGUGACGGUACCUGCAGAAAAAGCGCCGGCUAACUACGUGCCAGCAGCCGCGGUAAUACGUAGGGCGCAAGCGUUAUCCGGAAUUAUUGGGCGUAAAGAGCUCGUAGGCGGUUUGUCGCGUCUGCUGUGAAAACCCGAGGCUCAACCUCGGGCCUGCAGUGGGUACGGGCAGACUAGAGUGCGGUAGGGGAGAUUGGAAUUCCUGGUGUAGCGGUGGAAUGCGCAGAUAUCAGGAGGAACACCGAUGGCGAAGGCAGAUCUCUGGGCCGUAACUGACGCUGAGGAGCGAAAGGGUGGGGAGCAAACAGGCUUAGAUACCCUGGUAGUCCACCCCGUAAACGUUGGGAACUAGUUGUGGGGUCCAUUCCACGGAUUCCGUGACGCAGCUAACGCAUUAAGUUCCCCGCCUGGGGAGUACGGCCGCAAGGCUAAAACUCAAAGGAAUUGACGGGGACCCGCACAAGCGGCGGAGCAUGCGGAUUAAUUCGAUGCAACGCGAAGAACCUUACCAAGGCUUGACAUACACGAGAACGCUGCAGAAAUGUAGAACUCUUUGGACACUCGUGAACAGGUGGUGCAUGGUUGUCGUCAGCUCGUGUCGUGAGAUGUUGGGUUAAGUCCCGCAACGAGCGCAACCCUCGUUCUAUGUUGCCAGCACGUAAUGGUGGGAACUCAUGGGAUACUGCCGGGGUCAACUCGGAGGAAGGUGGGGAUGACGUCAAAUCAUCAUGCCCCUUAUGUCUUGGGCUUCACGCAUGCUACAAUGGCCGGUACAAAGGGCUGCAAUACCGCGAGGUGGAGCGAAUCCCAAAAAGCCGGUCCCAGUUCGGAUUGAGGUCUGCAACUCGACCUCAUGAAGUCGGAGUCGCUAGUAAUCGCAGAUCAGCAACGCUGCGGUGAAUACGUUCCCGGGUCUUGUACACACCGCCCGUCAAGUCAUGAAAGUCGGUAACACCUGAAGCCGGUGGCCCAACCCUUGUGGAGGGAGCCGUCGAAGGUGGGAUCGGUAAUUAGGACUA